AGAUAAAGUGACGCGCGGGUGACCUGGGAGCUUGGAGGCUUGAGCUCUGGAGGCUCCGUCCUUCAAUAGCACUUACCUACCCAACAACCGGGCUGGGGGAGCAGUAGUGUCUCCAUGGCAUAAAUGAAGAAACUGUGACUCAGAGAGGCUGAGUAAACUGCUUGAUGCCGUACAACUGCAUACAGUGAUGAAUGUGAGAUUCAGACUUGGAUUUGUCUGGCUCCAAAAUCUCUGUUCCUUCCAUGACAAUAAAACAAAGGAGAAGAAGAGCGAGAGAUACAUUACUGGCAUCAUCACUGAACUCCUCUGAACUCCAUUCUCAUAGGGAAGUGAUAACGUGAUGGUACGUCUAGAUGGCCAGGUGAAAACCGAGCACUGCUGAGCGAGCCCCAAGGAAAAGUGCAGCCUCCACACGAAGUUUUAUUAUUGGUUUCUGAGGAAGUGUAACCUGGAACAAGACUAUGAGGGAGAAGCCCUGCUGUCUUCCAGAUAUCCACCGAAGGGAAUUUGCUAGAUGUGCGGGCCAGUUCACAUCACUAGGAAUGCCUCGGAAGUCACUUUUUUCCCCUUUUUACAAAAAUGUUCAGCCAAGGGACUUUCAGUGAUUCCUCCUAACUGCUGGGUCCCCUUGAGCAGCCUCUGGGCUGAAUUGAGGUUGGUCACAAACUUUCCCCGUGCUCAUACCUUUCUCAAGAUAAAAAGCUCAUACCCAAAAUAGUGGCAGAUAGUACAAAUAUUACUACAGUUUUUCAUGGGGAGAUGAGGAGACUGUCAAAUUACACGCAAAGCUUAAGAAACCUCCCUUUAGAUUUCUUCUCUCUCCCCAGUCUCAUCUCUCCUCCCCCACCUUCCAGUUUUCCAUGUACUGUUUCUUUUCUUUUCAUUUCCCCACUUUUAUAAAGCCUCUAGAAUCUCAUUUGUUUAUAGUCCACGCCCUUGCAGCAAAACAAAAUUGUUGUUCAUCUAUGCUCCUGGCACCACUGAGGUCUCCGAGUUAUACACAAGGAGGGCUGGAUCCAUUCCCUUUAUAAACCCUCCAGCAAGAAGUCUCCAGCAAGAAGGAUGGUUCAUUCCUCACUCAGGGCAUGUUUUCCCCAGAAUCCUGCUUCAUGGCUGCUUGGCCCUCCACGAUGCACUCAUGUUGCCUCUAUCCAUCUUAGGGUAGCUAAUGUCUUUUAAACAAUGUUGAAACAGAAUAAGGCAAAUACUGCAGGGGUGUAUCCCAGGGAAAGGAAGUGUUCCCCAGAGCACAUUGAGUCUGCAUUCCAUUUCCUUCAGAGUGGUGUCAGCAAACGAUACUGAGUGUGAAAAAGACAUUUUGGACCAUGUUUACAGGGCCCUUGGAUGCACUUCUCGUUUUAGAGGUAUGAGCUUAAGUGUUGUUAAAAUCUUACAAUUAGCACAUGGAGGCCGUGGUGCUUCAGGCCUGCCCUAGUAUAGGUCUGUAAGGAAAUGACCCAGCUCUGAAUCUUCUCUCCUUGAAAACUGUGUGAUGUGCUUUCAACACUUUAGCCCCCCAAGCCUCAGACACUCACUAUUAACAGAAAGAUCUUAUGCUUCUCAUGAAGUGCUUUAAGGUUUGCACUUUGAUUAUAAGUGCUACCUUUCUUGACCACUUCGGUUAUUUUUGAUCCUCUUAACCCUGUAGGGUGGAUAGUAUGUAAUAUGGAAAGGGAAUAUGGUCUAGUGGUUAAGGGAAAAGGGUAAUUAGUCCUUAUUCUGUUACUAGCCAGCUCUGUGCCUUUCGGUAAUUAUAAACUUCUCUAGAUCUUAGUUGCUCAUCUGGUAAAUGGGUAUAAUAACAACACUUACCUUAUAGCAUGUUAGUGAAAUACAAAUGAGAUAACGUAUAUAAACUGUCUGGUAUGUAGUUUAAUAAAUAUUAGUUAUCAUCCUCCCCAUCAUCCAAGAUUAUAGAGUUUGAAAGUGGGGUGGCUGGGAUUCAAACCCAGACUUAACCUUCCAAGCUUCUGAAUGAUCAUGUUUUAUAACAAAGAUAACAGGUAACCAGAGUUAACAUUCUGUAUUGAGCUCUAAAAGUACUUGCUAGAGGGACUUCCCUGUCGGUCCAGUGGUUAAAGACUUUGCCUUCCAAUGCAGGGGGUGCAGGUUCCAUCGCUGGUUGGGGAGAUAAGAUCCCACAUGCCGUGUGGCCAAGAAACAAAACAUAAAACAGAAGCAAUAUUGUAACAAGUUCAAUAAAGAUUUUAAAAAUGGUCCACAUCAAAAAAAAAUCUUAAAAAAAUACUUGCUAGGAACUAUUCUAGGCACUAUACAUAUUAACCCCUUUUAUAGUCAUGCCAACCCUAUGGGAUUGGUACAGUUAUUACCAUUAUCCACAUUUGAAGAUGGAGAAACUGAGAGGUUAAGUGACUUGCUCAAGAUUCCUGGUGACAGUAGUGAGCCUGCCAUCUGACCCAAGAGUGCAGGCUCUUAACCACUUUGCAGUGCUCUCAAUUACUGUGUGUAUAUGACCUGACACUAUUUUUCAGAAGUCUUUCCUAAGUAUUUAUGGCCUCAAUCAGUGUAUUGAGGGUUCCAGUGCCUGAGCCAAGUAAGCACACCUGCAAAGGUGGCUGGGAGGGUGCGCCAGAGUUCUAUUAGCAAACAGAACUAAUUUAUCCUCCUAUUGAAAGAAGGAAUGCUGGGAAAUUCAUGGAACAUAAGUUCAGUCCAG
Physeter macrocephalus (sperm whale) is the source of this 2677-nucleotide long non-coding RNA. RefSeq lists it as uncharacterized. The transcript has 5 exons. Lineage: Eukaryota; Metazoa; Chordata; Mammalia; Artiodactyla; Physeteridae. The record is from RefSeq and is a predicted model, not a curated record.